GCACUGCUGAUGAGACUUAACCAGGUCGAAACAGCUUUCCAGUGC
Non-coding RNA from Echinostoma caproni, 45 nucleotides. The record is from Rfam. Lineage: Eukaryota; Metazoa; Platyhelminthes; Trematoda; Plagiorchiida; Echinostomatidae.